UACGAGGGGGGCAAGCGUUGUUCGGAUUUAUUGGGCGUAAAGGGUGCGUAGGCGGUUUGGCAAGUCUGAUGUGAAAUCUAUGGGCUCAACCCAUAGUCUGCAUCAGAAACUGCCGGGCUUGAGUAUGGGAGAGGUGAGUGGAAUUUCCGGUGUAGCGGUGAAAUGCGUAGAUAUCGGAAGGAACACCUGUGGCGAAAGCGGCUC
This 204-nucleotide ribosomal RNA is filed under the name uncultured Acidobacteriaceae bacterium. Its description in RNAcentral is "partial 16S ribosomal RNA". It matches the Rfam family "Bacterial small subunit ribosomal RNA", at positions 524 to 727 of the family's 1533-position model. The record is from RNAcentral. Lineage: Bacteria; Pseudomonadati; Acidobacteriota; Terriglobia; Terriglobales; Acidobacteriaceae.